Molecule: non-coding RNA, 2188 nt
Organism: Anas platyrhynchos (mallard)
Lineage: Eukaryota; Metazoa; Chordata; Aves; Anseriformes; Anatidae
Source: RefSeq, a predicted model, not a curated record
CGGAUCGGAGCUUUGUAAAACAGGCAGCUAUAGGCAAGGACCCGAACUGCCACCGUAUCGCAUCGGGCACACUCUGCUAGCCUAUAGGAGGAGAGGAAGGAUGGAAGGAAGGAUGGAUGGAUGGAUGGAUGGUUGCAUGGAUGGAUGGAUGGAUGGAUGGAUGGAUGGAUGGAUGGAUGGAUGGAUGGAGCAGAGGAGCCAGCGAGAGCCGGAGCGCGUUGGCAGCCGGGCAGCGCAGCCUCCCCGGGACAGCUUAGCCCUAAGCGGGGAGCCAGGAGGUCACAGAGGACUACAGAGAGUGCCUGAAGAUGGGGAGUGGAUCAACAACUGAUGGGAAUCAGCAGGGAUCCACUGGCAUCAAUAGAACAAGCUGAAGCCCACGCUGAGGCACUGUAGCACAGACAAAUGAAGUUGCAGAAGGUGCUGCCAUACCCCUGCAGGCGCUGUUCCAGAAGAAGCAUGUUCAGCAUACCAAACUACUCAGCUUCAGAUCAAAACUCAGGCUCCAGCACCAACCCAAUCUGAUCCAGUUGCAGCAUUGAUUUCAAGAAGUCAGUUCCAAACAUUCUUCUUCACAAAAAUCAGAAUAAAACGGUUUUGUCCAAGAGACAUAGCUUCAUGUAUUUUGAGGAUAUUUGUGUUAUGUAACAGAAAUUAAAGUCCCGACAUCCUUCUCAGCUGACUUUAUUGGUGAUGUAUUGGCAUAGCUAAAAGUUCUUCUGGCUGAAUGCAGAGGUUUCUCUCAGUCCAGAAGGUUGUUAGUCAAUGGCUGUGAUGCAGCAGAAGCCCAAGAAAUGGUUCAUCACAUCUCUGCAAGACUUAGACUCAUUGCCUACCUCCUGUCUGCAUGCUAAUGGAUGAAACCCUUUCAACAUAAGGAUCAUCUCCAUCUCAUCUAUAGGAACCAUGAUCUGGCUGUUGCAAUGCAGUAAAAGAAGCAAAAGACUGAGCUUGGAAAUCAUCUGCAAUGCUCAUAUACAGGGGAACGUGAUUCCUCGGCUGAGACAAGCUCAGCAGCAGCUGCUCCUUGCUUGGCUGACAGAGCAGUUUCUCCUUGGCUUCCUUGGAAAAGAACCUUUUCAUGGUCUUUGCUCUAGACUUGGGGACAUAAAUGACAUCAGAGGCCAAUGAAGGGCACUGCUGGACACUCCAUAGUCAACCUAGGUCGCAGAGCGGUUUCAUAUUUUUAAGGGGGAACAGUGUGCAAAAUUCAACCAAAGUGGAGAUUCUAAAAGAGGCUGUCUCAGAAAGACAUUGGGUUGGGGCUUCAUUCACUCAUACCCAGUGUGGAAAACACAGUGAUCAUCACUAAUCCUAAACUGCUCAAAUCUGUCAUUACUAUUAUCAUGACUAUUGCUCUGUUGUUAAUUCUAUUAUGUAUGUUACUUAUUCUCAAUUAUAGUAAAAUGUUAUCUGGAGAUCUAGAGCAAUUUCUGGACACCCCUAGGCACAGACAGUGACAAGCUGUUUGCUAAACAGAGAUCUGGGAAUAACUGGUUUUUCAUUUUGCUGCCAAUUCUGCAAUGUAAGCAAAUAAAUAAGUUGGAGACAGACCUGAAAUAACCAAAAAAAAGUCGGCUAACUGAAAAUGGAAAGCAAACAAACAGACUAACAAGCCCAGCAUAUCUGAGUUUAAAAGAAUGUUGUCUUCCACCCACAAUAAACUUCUUCAUGUUGUUUUCAAGAUUUGUAACAUGUUUUCUCAGCGCUGUAGAAAAAAAAAAUAAUAAAUGGAACAUCAUUCCAUUUUUUUAAAAGCAUCUUGUUUAGAAACAAAUCAAAGUGAAAUGUUUUGAUUUGCUUGUUUGAGUGUUUUCUCUUUCUGUAGAUUAAAAAACAAACAAACAAAGAACAACAAUAAAAAAAACAACCUCCUUGUCAAAAAAAUCACAUCAGUUUGGAUUUUACUUUUUCCAACAAAAUUCUUUCAGCUGCAAAUUUUUGACUGCCUUAUAGCAAGAAUCAAAAUAAUGAACUUUGGGUCUGGGUAGCUGAAAAUACAGACCUCCACUUCAGAAAAGCUGUCCCCUUAUCCUAGGUACACCUUUAAGUCACCAGCAGAUCAAGAUGGCAUUCAAUAAUGAAACCACUUGCUCUGAAACUGCCUAAAAUCACAGUGAAAAGUAACUUCUAGUAGGUUGCAAAAUACACCCAGUCAGAAAUUUGGUAUUAACUUCUACACUUUAAU